AUCAUCUUGUUGCUCAGCUAAAGUUCAUAUCAUCAAACUGAAUUACAGAACUUCCAUCACAGAGUUUGAUUAUGGGGCUAGGCAUCAUUCUGCAGUGCAUUUUUAUACUCAUGUUAACACGAGGUUUUUGCAGUGCUGAGAUCAGACUGGACCAGUCUUCUGCUGUGGUAAAGAGACCUGGAGAAUCUGUGAAGAUCUCGUGUAAAAUAAAUGGCUUUGAUAUGACAAGCUACUACAUGCACUGGAUCCGACAGAAACCAGGGAAAGCUCUGGAAUGGGUUGGUAGGAUGGAUGCUGGCAAAAAUCAAGCAAUAUAUGCAGAGUCUGUAAAGAACCAAUUCACACUAACAGAAGACGUCCCGGCAAGCACACAGUACUUAGAGGUCAAGAGUCUGAGGACAGAGGACACUGCGGUUUAUUACUGUGCUCGAAGAGCCACAGUGACUGGAGCGAAGGAAACAGCUGCUAAAUUUGAGCCAACAGUAGCAACCACCCAGUACUCCCAAGCAACCACCCAGAACACCCUUGCAUCUGCCUAG
This is a non-coding RNA of Ictalurus punctatus (channel catfish), 539 nucleotides long. The record is from the annotation of a RefSeq genome assembly. NCBI's taxonomy places the organism in Eukaryota, Metazoa, Chordata, Actinopteri, Siluriformes, Ictaluridae.